Long non-coding RNA from Salvia splendens (bonfire salvia), 922 nucleotides. RefSeq lists it as uncharacterized. The transcript has 4 exons. NCBI's taxonomy places the organism in Eukaryota, Viridiplantae, Streptophyta, Magnoliopsida, Lamiales, Lamiaceae. The record is from RefSeq and is a predicted model, not a curated record.
AAUUGAUUUACGGAACAUCUUUCCAUUAAUUAACCUGCCUCACAAAUCCAAUUCUUCCCUCAUCUAUCCUGAUUUCUCAUUUUCCCCAAAUUUCACCGCCCCAACUCCACGCCGCCUCCACCCUACAAAACCAUACUUGUAAUAAGCCCUAUCACUUCCCAUCCAACCAGUCCGUCAACGCCGCUGCUCUCCACCACAAGCUAGUUACCGGCCUCGUUGCUACCCAGGCUAUUACUAGUCCGCCGCCCCUGUUACUCCAAUUGAGGCACUUGAUCAUUAUCAUCACCCUUUUUGACCCAACUCUAAUGGUGAGAAAACUGUACAGGUUUUGUAGGCUACCAGCCUCCUCAAGAUGGGAAAGUCUUCUGGAAAAUGGAUUAAGGGCAUUACUUUUGGUAAAAAAAAGAAUCCAAUCUAGUCUGUUGCCAUCUUGUAAGUUUCAUUAUGUAUUUUCUGUUCAUAUUUUUUUUAUUUCGUUCCCACUCGCCCUAAUCGCACCUAUCAUUCGUGAGACAUCUAUGUGUACAGUAAUGUUCCUAAGUGUGAUCAUUUUGGGUUUUGGAGGAUCUUUCUCUUAAUUGUGAUUAUACAAACCAGAUGCAGCAACUUUUGUUUCCUCUAUUGAAAGAAUCUUCAUCUCUGCACUGUCUAUAUAAUGUGUAUUUUGGGUUUUGGGUUUUGGCUGACAUUUUUGAGGAUUAAAUGAAGUUCUUACAAAGAUGAAGUUAAUCAAGAAAUGUAAUUUAGAGUACAUUGUUGUGAUAAGGAGCUCCAAGGAAAAUUGGAAAUGCUAGAUAAACUUUGUAGCUAUCUAGAGCAUUUUUUUAUUGAUUUCAUUUUAAAAUUGUAUACUAUGAUUUUAUUGAAAUUAUUAUGUAAAUAAUUUUUUAAAGUUUUUGUAUGUAAUUGAUUGUUUUGUAUA